AAAGGGAGACCUAAUUCAGGUAAAAGACGAAAAAAAAGUAGUCGCUACCAAGAAUCAAUCCCAAAAGGUCGGAGCGAGGCGAAAUUGGCUUUCAAACUAGGUUCUGGGUUCACAGAAGACCUGAAUCAGGAACAAGGGCUAUUAGCUCAGGUGGUUAGAGCGCACCCCUGAUAAGGGUGAGGUCCCUGGUUCGAGUCCAGGAUGGCCCACCUGCACAGGUGGUAAAAACAAGAGAAGCGAGGAAUCAGCACCUUAUCUUACUUACAUAGUAAGAGAGAAUGCUGGCUCUGAGUAAAGAGUCCAGAGGAACCUUGAAAACUGCAUAGAGCUAGGUGAAAAAGCCAAAAAAGAAGACCGCAAG
Molecule: transfer RNA, 361 nt
Filed under: uncultured Microcystis sp.
Lineage: Bacteria; Bacillati; Cyanobacteriota; Cyanophyceae; Chroococcales; Microcystaceae
Description: partial 16S-23S ribosomal RNA intergenic spacer
Rfam family: tRNA (bases 136-209)
Source: RNAcentral